RNAcentral lists this ribosomal RNA (253 nucleotides) under uncultured bacterium. Its description in RNAcentral is "partial 16S ribosomal RNA". It matches the Rfam family "Bacterial small subunit ribosomal RNA", at positions 524 to 776 of the family's 1533-position model. The record is from RNAcentral.
UACGUAGGGGGCAAGCGUUGUCCGGAAUCAUUGGGCGUAAAGAGCGUGUAGGCGGCCCGAUAAGUCCGCUGUGAAAGUCCAGGGCUCAACCCCGGGAGGCGGGUGGAUACUGUCAAGCUCGAGUCCGGAAGAGGCGAGUGGAAUUCCUGGUGUAGCGGUGAAAUGCGCAGAUAUCAGGAGGAACACCAGUGGCGAAGGCAGCUCGCUGGGACGUGACUGACGCUGAGACGCGAAAGCGUGGGGAGCAAGCAGG